This 343-nucleotide unclassified non-coding RNA is filed under the name soil metagenome. RNAcentral describes it as "partial contains 5.8S ribosomal RNA, internal transcribed spacer 2, and large subunit ribosomal RNA". The stretch from base 1 to 120 matches the Rfam family "5.8S ribosomal RNA", at positions 35 to 154 of the family's 154-position model. The record is from RNAcentral.
GAUGAAGAACGCAGCGAAAUGCGAUAAGUAAUGUGAAUUGCAGAAUUCAGUGAAUCAUCGAAUCUUUGAACGCACAUUGCGCCCGCCAGCAUUCUGGCGGGCAUGCCUGUUCGAGCGUCAUUUCAACCCUCGACCUCCCCUUGGGGAGGUCGGCGUUGGGGACCGGCAGCACACCGCCGGCCCUGAAAUGGAGUGGCGGCCCGUCCGCGGCGACCUCUGCGCAGUAAUACAGCUCGCACCGGGACCCCGACGCGGCCACGCCGUAAAACACCCAACUUCUGAACGUUGACCUCGAAUCAGGUAGGACUACCCGCUGAACUUAAGCAUAUCAAUAAGCGGAGGA